Molecule: ribosomal RNA, 421 nt
Filed under: uncultured bacterium
Lineage: Bacteria
Description: partial 16S ribosomal RNA
Rfam family: Bacterial small subunit ribosomal RNA
Source: RNAcentral
AAUAUUGGACAAUGGGCGAAAGCCUGAUCCAGCCAUGCCGCGUGUGGGAAGAAGGUCUUCGGAUUGUAAAGCACUUUAAGUUGGGAGGAAGGGCAGUAAGUUAAUACCUUGCUGUUUUGACGUUACCGACAGAAUAAGUACCGGCUAACCUCGUGACAGCAGCUGCGGUAAUUCGAAGGGUGGAAGAGUUUAUCUGUAUUACUGGGCGUAAAGCGCCCGUAGGUGGUUUGUUAAGUUGGAAGUGAACGCCCCGGGCUCAACCUGGGAACUGCUUUCAAAACUGGCAAGCUAGAGUACGGUAGAGGGUAGUGGAAUUUCCUGUGUAGCGGUGAAAUGCGUAGAUAUAGGAAGGAACACCAGUGGCGAAGGCGACUACCUGGACUGAUACUGACACUGAGGUGCGAAAGCGUGGGGAGCAAAC